Molecule: long non-coding RNA, 268 nt
Filed under: Lathyrus oleraceus (garden pea)
Lineage: Eukaryota; Viridiplantae; Streptophyta; Magnoliopsida; Fabales; Fabaceae
Description: Pisum sativum (pea) long non-coding RNA (PSAT_LNC010438)
Source: RNAcentral
UUCUGUACACGGUCCUCAAAGGAUAUCAUUCCACUCUUAACCGGCUUUUGGACUUCAUGCUUCAGGGGGUAACAAUUUUUAAUAUCAUGACUGGGAGCUCCUUGGUGAAAGGCACAGUGGAGUUCCGAUUUGUACCACCAUGGAAGUGGUUCAGGAAUUUGAGGGGGAUUUCUUGGUUGCAAAAGGUUCUUGAGAACCAACAUGGAUAUAAUUCUGUGUAAGUCAUAAGAAUAGGGUCAAAAGAGACCUUCUUCCUCUCAAAGUUUUG